GACGAACGCUGGCGGCGUGCUUAACACAUGCAAGUCGAACGGAAAGGCCCUGCUUUUGUGGGGUGCUCGAGUGGCGAACGGGUGAGUAACACGUGAGUAACCUGCCCUUGACUUUGGGAUAACUUCAGGGAACUGGGGCUAAUACCGGAUAGGAGCUCCUGCUGCAUGGUGGGGGUUGGAAAGUUUCGGCGGUUGGGGAUGGACUCGCGGCUUAUCAGCUUGUUGGUGGGGUAGUGGCUUACCAAGGCUUUGACGGGUAGCCGGCCUGAGAGGGUGACCGGCCACAUUGGGACUGAGAUACGGCCCAGACUCCUACGGGAGGCAGCAGUGGGGAAUAUUGCACAAUGGGCGGAAGCCUGAUGCAGCAACGCCGCGUGCGGGAUGACGGCCUUCGGGUUGUAAACCGCUUUCGCCUGUGACGAAGCGUGAGUGACGGUAAUGGGUAAAGAAGCACCGGCUAACUACGUGCCAGCAGCCGCGGUGAUACGUAGGGUGCGAGCGUUGUCCGGAUUUAUUGGGCGUAAAGGGCUCGUAGGUGGUUGAUCGCGUCGGAAGUGUAAUCUUGGGGCUUAACCCUGAGCGUGCUUUCGAUACGGGUUGACUUGAGGAAGGUAGGGGAGAAUGGAAUUCCUGGUGGAGCGGUGGAAUGCGCAGAUAUCAGGAGGAACACCAGUGGCGAAGGCGGUUCUCUGGGCCUUUCCUGACGCUGAGGAGCGAAAGCGUGGGGAGCGAACAGGCUUAGAUACCCUGGUAGUCCACGCUGUAAACGGUGGGUACUAGGUGUGGGGUCCAUUCCACGGGUUCCGUGCCGUAGCUAACGCUUUAAGUACCCCGCCUGGGGAGUACGGCCGCAAGGCUAAAACUCAAAGGAAUUGACGGGGCCCCGCACAAGCGGCGGAGCAUGCGGAUUAAUUCGAUGCAACGCGUAGAACCUUACCUGGGUUUGACAUGGAUCGGGAGCGCUCAGAGAUGGGUGUGCCUCUUUUGGGGUCGGUUCACAGGUGGUGCAUGGCUGUCGUCAGCUCGUGUCGUGAGAUGUUGGGUUAAGUCCCGCAACGAGCGCAACCCUUGUUCACUGUUGCCAGCACGUUAUGGUGGGGACUCAGUGGAGACCGCCGGGGUCAACUCGGAGGAAGGUGGGGAUGACGUCAAGUCAUCGUGCCCCUUAUGUCCAGGGCUUCACGCAUGCUACAAUGGCUGGUACAGAGAGUGGCGAGCCUGUGAGGGUGAGCGAAUCUCGGAAAGCCGGUCUCAGUUCGGAUUGGGGUCUGCAACUCGACCUCAUGAAGUCGGAGUCGCUAGUAAUCGCAGACCAGCAACGCUGCGGUGAAUACGUUCCCGGG
Molecule: ribosomal RNA, 1343 nt
Filed under: uncultured bacterium
Lineage: Bacteria
Description: 16S ribosomal RNA
Rfam family: Bacterial small subunit ribosomal RNA
Source: RNAcentral